AUACUUAUUUGGCAGGGAAGAUAUUAUGAUCACUAAGGUGGUUUCCCUGGGGCAAGACUCGUCCAUUGCACCUGAAUAUGCUGAAAUCUGCAAUAUCUCAAAAUGUGGGAAACCUGACCACAAAAUUUGUGGUAGUAGGGGACUGUGUUUUUGCUCUCCCCAU
Molecule: small nuclear RNA, 163 nt
Organism: Suncus etruscus (white-toothed pygmy shrew)
Lineage: Eukaryota; Metazoa; Chordata; Mammalia; Eulipotyphla; Soricidae
Product: U1 spliceosomal RNA
Exons: 1
Source: RefSeq, a predicted model, not a curated record